RNAcentral lists this ribosomal RNA (1010 nucleotides) under Ralstonia insidiosa. RNAcentral's name for it is "bacterial SSU rRNA". It matches the Rfam family "Bacterial small subunit ribosomal RNA", at positions 30 to 1029 of the family's 1533-position model. Lineage: Bacteria; Pseudomonadati; Pseudomonadota; Betaproteobacteria; Burkholderiales; Burkholderiaceae. The record is from RNAcentral.
UGAACGCGGCGGCAUGCCUUACACAUGCAAGUCGAACGGCAGCGGGGAGAAGCUUGCUUCUCCUGCCGGCGAGUGGCGAACGGGUGAGUAAUACAUCGGAACGUGCCCUGUAGUGGGGGAUAACUAGUCGAAAGAUAAGCUAAUACCGCAUACGACUGAGGGUGAAAGUGGGGGACCGCAAGGCCUCAUGCUAUAGGAGCGGCCGAUGUCUGAUAGCUAGUUGGUGAGGUAAAGGCUCACCAAGGCGACGAUCAGUAGCUGGUCUGAGAGGACGAUCAGCCACACUGGGACUGAGACACGGCCCAGACUCCUACGGGAGGCAGCAGUGGGGAAUUUUGGACAAUGGGCGAAAGCCUGAUCCAGCAAUGCCGCGUGUGUGAAGAAGGCCUUCGGGUUGUAAAGCACUUUUGUCCGGAAAGAAAUCGCACUUACUAAUACUAGGUGUGGAUGACGGUACCGGAAGAAUAAGGACCGGCUAACUACGUGCCAGCAGCCGCGGUAAUACGUAGGGUCCGAGCGUUAAUCGGAAUUACUGGGCGUAAAGCGUGCGCAGGCGGUUGUGCAAGACCGAUGUGAAAUCCCCGGGCUUAACCUGGGAAUUGCAUUGGUGACUGCACGGCUAGAGUGUGUCAGAGGGGGGUAGAAUUCCACGUGUAGCAGUGAAAUGCGUAGAGAUGUGGAGGAAUACCGAUGGCGAAGGCAGCCCCCUGGGAUAACACUGACGCUCAUGCACGAAAGCGUGGGGAGCAAACAGGAUUAGAUACCCUGGUAGUCCACGCCCUAAACGAUGUCAACUAGUUGUUGGGGAUUCAUUUCCUUAGUAACGUAGCUAACGCGUGAAGUUGACCGCCUGGGGAGUACGGUCGCAAGAUUAAAACUCAAAGGAAUUGACGGGGACCCGCACAAGCGGUGGAUGAUGUGGAUUAAUUCGAUGCAACGCGAAAAACCUUACCUACCCUUGACAUGCCACUAACGAAGCAGAGAUGCAUUAGGUGCUCGAAAGAGAAAGU